CUUGUCAUUUUCUCUCUGGUCUAGAGAUUUAACACAAUUUUUGAUACUGCUAGAGGACAUGGCUCUGUUUUUGCGCAUCAUUGUAUUAUUUGCUCACAGUUACUGCCUAUUGCCACUGGGUGAGGGUCAAGAGCCACAUAUUCUGAGCCCUCUGUGGUCCACUGAGAUCCAGGAACUGGAGCCAUGCUGGGCUUUGGCCCCAACUCUGGUUUACGGCGGUACAGUGGCUGUGUUUAGGUGGGAGAGACACAGGCAGUCUAGGAUUUGAGGUCUGCUUCCUGGCUGGUGAGAGAUUUGCUGCUUCUCUGGCUCCUGCUCAGCUCAUUUGUUGGAGGAUAAAAAAGGCCAAGCUUGGUCCACAGAUGGGUAGCUUGUAUGUGGGCACAAGUGAAGACGGACUGCUGCCCCUCACCCCAUCGCAGGGUGGCCCUCAAAGAAAGCGAAUGCUGCAUAUGGCCAGUCCUUUAACACAGGCUCUGCUCAUCAUUCCAGCUCCUCCAGAUCUUUUUGGAGAGGCUUAGAGAUGAUCAAGGUAAAAUCUUUUCUGGACUGGGAUAUGUCACGUGAACUCAUCUACCUUGUGAAACAAGGGAUGUGGGAAAUUCAAAAAGAAUUUGGUGGCUAGUUGGCAAUAGG
RNAcentral lists this long non-coding RNA (636 nucleotides) under Equus caballus (horse). RNAcentral's name for it is "lncRNA (ENSECAG00000053986.1)". Lineage: Eukaryota; Metazoa; Chordata; Mammalia; Perissodactyla; Equidae. The record is from RNAcentral.